This 71-nucleotide transfer RNA is filed under the name Loxodonta africana (African savanna elephant). It matches the Rfam family "tRNA". From Rfam's summary of the family: Transfer RNA (tRNA) molecules are approximately 80 nucleotides in length. The record is from Rfam by way of RNAcentral. Lineage: Eukaryota; Metazoa; Chordata; Mammalia; Proboscidea; Elephantidae.
ACAAUAGUGGCUUAGUGGUAGAAUUGUCGUCUUCCACGCGGGAGACCUGGGUUUGAUUCCCAGCCAAUGCA